AUGGGGAACAGCAAAGCUACUGACCUAUUCAAUUUCAUCAUCAAUACUCUAGCCCUUCGAGAAAUACACAUUAGUGGGGGUAAAUAUACCUGGACCAACAAUCAGGCUCACCCCACCCUAGAAAAGCUAGAUCGCAUCCUGAUGUCCGAGAGUUGGGAAGAUGCUUUCCCAAUGGUCUCUGUGAGGAAAUUAGUUCGAGAAAUAUCUGACCAUAACCCCUUGUUGCUCUCCUCUGGGGAAGAAGGGCGUGAAGCGCCAAAACCUCGAGAAUUUCAUUUUGAUCUUUCAUGGAUCAAAGAUGACAGCUUCUUGCCCACUGUUGGAAGAAUCUGGGCUAGGAAAGUUGCAUCGACCGACCCAAUAGAUGUCUUGAAUAUCAAGUUGAAAAGAUUUAAGACCUACUUCAAAGGGUGGGGCUCAGACAAGUAUGGGCACGAUAAGAGAAGAAAAGAGGAGCUUCGCAUAAAACUGUCUAUGCUAGAGGAAUUAGAAGAGGAGGAUAUGUUGCCCCUGACCUUUAUAGUAGGAAGGUUGAUAUUAGUGCUGAGCUCUAUGAGAUUUUGGUGA
This 567-nucleotide ribosomal RNA is filed under the name Triticum aestivum (bread wheat). RNAcentral's name for it is "partial small subunit ribosomal RNA". Lineage: Eukaryota; Viridiplantae; Streptophyta; Magnoliopsida; Poales; Poaceae. The record is from RNAcentral.